GCCUCCCGGGACACGCUUCUGAACUGGACCCUGAGGGAUGGUGUUUCCUACAAGCAAACUGUUGAUAUGUUCUGGGGUGGCUGAUGGAAGGGGUGCUUGGUGGGAGAUCAAACCUGCAUCAGGGAGCAGCUGCUCUCCUGACUCCGCAUGGGGCUCAGAGCACCUGGCAGCUUAAGAAACCUCCUCUUUGUGCUGGUGUUGAAGGAUGUGCUCUAGUCAACAGGAGUGAAGAAGUAUGAUUAUAAAAGAGCAGACAGAUGGCAGUGCUGCGAAACUUCAGCAAGCAUGACAGCCAACCCAACCCUGGAUCUCCACAAGAAUGGUGACCUCUGCAACCACAGGCCAGUGGGCAGUCCCCAUGACGUACCAGGCGGACCACGCAGGGGGCAGAGUCUCCUUCCACGACGGCAUCUGAAGGAAGUUCAAAAGGAACGGGUCACAUAUGAACUGUUAUUGCUCAUAAAGGAAAUAACUGUUACACAUAACUGUUACACUCUGGCUUCCUCCUUACCAGCUUCAGAAGCUUCAUUAAAUGUAAUUACUAGGAUAUUCACUAUGUCAAAAACAGGAGCUAGAGCUAUUGUCUUAAAAGAAAUACAUCUAAAACGGUGCAGUCACUUUGGAAAACAGUCUGGCAGGUAUUCAAAGGGUUAAACAUAGAGUCAUCCUAAGAUCCAGCAAUUCCACUCCCAAGUAUAUUACCAAGAGAAUUAAAAAUGUAUGUACUUUGUGAGCUUUGCAUACAAAUGUUCGUGACAGCAUUAUUCAUGAUAGCCAAGAAACAGAAGCAAUCCAAAGAGCCAUCAGUUGAGAAUAGAUAAACAAAAUGGGGUAUAUCCGUACAACGGAAUAUUAUUGUUCAGUUGUAAAAGGGAAUGAAACACUGAUGCGUGCUACAACAUGGAUGAACCUUAUAAACAUGCUUAGUGAUAGAAACCAGACACAGAAAGCCACAUACUGUAUCACUCUAUUUAUAUGAAAAGUCCAAAUUAGGCAAGCCCGGAAAGAUAGAAAGUAGAUUAGUGGUUGCCAGAGGACAGGGGGAGAGGAGAAUGGAAGUGACUGCUAGCAAAUGUAGGGUUUCUUUCUGGGUGAGGAAAAUGCUCUAGAACUAGAUAGUGAUGGUUGUACGACUAUGAGAUUAUACUAAAAACCACUAAAUUAUGCAUUUUAGGUGGUUUAUGGCAUGCAAAUGAUACUCCCCAAAACCUGCUAUAAAAAAGAAAGAAAUAGUCCCCAAAUGCUAAUACAAUGGUUUUGGGGUAGUUCGGCUAGGUGCCAAUUUUUAUUUUUACUUUUCUGGGUUUUUUUUUUUUUAAGAUUUUUUUUUUUAUUUGACAGAGAUAGA
Molecule: long non-coding RNA, 1348 nt
Organism: Ailuropoda melanoleuca (giant panda)
Lineage: Eukaryota; Metazoa; Chordata; Mammalia; Carnivora; Ursidae
Exons: 3
Source: RefSeq, a predicted model, not a curated record